Haliotis rubra (blacklip abalone) is the source of this 157-nucleotide long non-coding RNA. RefSeq lists it as uncharacterized. The record is from RefSeq and is a predicted model, not a curated record. The transcript has 2 exons. NCBI's taxonomy places the organism in Eukaryota, Metazoa, Mollusca, Gastropoda, Lepetellida, Haliotidae.
CUCCGGUACAUGUCUUGAUAUUGGUCCAUUCGACAUCUGUGUGGCGAGUCUGCCUGGGGCUGGAAAUAAUGGUGGACCCCAACCUGUUACAGAGACCGAAGACCCGGAAUAACCCAUUUCAUUGCCUGGUGUACUGAAAUAAACCUCAUUAAGAGAU